RNAcentral lists this ribosomal RNA (420 nucleotides) under uncultured bacterium. RNAcentral's name for it is "bacterial SSU rRNA". It matches the Rfam family "Bacterial small subunit ribosomal RNA", at positions 37 to 443 of the family's 1533-position model. The record is from RNAcentral.
AGUGGGGGCGCUGACUACACAUGGCAAGUCGAACGAGAGAGUGUAUUCCUCCAUGGAGUAAUAGGGUGCCCACCGGGCGAGUAACACGAGACACAAUCUGCCCUUGAGUGGGGGAUAACCUCGAGAAACCGGGGCUAAUACUCGCUAUAACAUCUUGUGGUCGGAAGAACUGAGGAUCCAGAGGAGCAAUUCGCUUAAGGAGGAGGUCGCGGCUGAUUACCUAGUUGGCGGGGUAAUGGCCCCCCAAGGCCAAGAUCGGUAGCCGGCCUGAGAGGGCGCACGGCCCCACUGGAACUGAAACACGGACCAGACUCCUACGGGAGGCAGCAGGUGGGGAAUUUUGCGCAACGGGGGAAACCCUGACCCAGCAACACCGCGUGCAGGAGGAAGUCCCUUGGGACGUAAACUCCUUUCAACCGG